Molecule: ribosomal RNA, 462 nt
Filed under: uncultured bacterium
Lineage: Bacteria
Description: bacterial SSU rRNA
Rfam family: Bacterial small subunit ribosomal RNA
Source: RNAcentral
CCAGACUCCUACGGGAGGCAGCAGUGGGGAAUAUUGCACAAUGGGGGAAACCCUGAUGCAGCGACGCCGCGUGAGUGAAGAAGUAUUUCGGUAUGUAAAGCUCUAUCAGCAGGGAAGAAAUAGCGACCUUUGGGUCGCCAGACGGUACCUGACUAAGAAGCCCCGGCUAACUACGUGCCAGCAGCCGCGGUAAUACGUAGGGGGCAAGCGUUAUCCGGAUUUACUGGGUGUAAAGGGAGCGUAGACGGCAGCACAAGUCUGAAGUGAAAUGCCGGGGCUUAACCCCGGAACUGCUUUGGAAACUGCGUCGCUGGAGUACGGGAGGGGCAGGCGGAAUUCCUGGUGUAGCGGUGAAAUGCGUAGAUAUCAGGAGGAACACCGGCGGCGAAGGCGGCUUACUGGACUGUAACUGACGUUGAGGCUCGAAAGCGUGGGGAGCAAACAGGAUUAGAUACCCGCGUA